GCUGGAUGUGGUGGUGCAUGCAUGUAGUCCCAGGUACUCAGAAAGCUGAGGCAGCAGGAUCACUUGUCCAGGAGUUCUGGGCUGUAGUGCACUAUGCAGUCUGGUGUCCACACUAAGUUCAGUAUCAGUAUGGUGACCUCCUGGGAGCGAAGGACCAGAUUGCCUAAGGAGGGGUGAACCAGCCCAGAUCAGAAACAAAGUAUGUGAAAACUCUUGUGCUGAUCGGCAGUGGCAUCACACCUGUGAAUAGCCACUGCACUCCAGCCUGGACAACACAGUGAGACCUUGCCUGU
This 293-nucleotide signal recognition particle RNA is filed under the name Cebus imitator (Panamanian white-faced capuchin). Its description in RNAcentral is "Metazoan signal recognition particle RNA (ENSCCAG00000009070.1)". It matches the Rfam family "Metazoan signal recognition particle RNA". Rfam says of the family: The signal recognition particle (SRP) is a universally conserved ribonucleoprotein. It is involved in the co-translational targeting of proteins to membranes. The record is from RNAcentral. Lineage: Eukaryota; Metazoa; Chordata; Mammalia; Primates; Cebidae.